This 492-nucleotide ribosomal RNA is filed under the name uncultured bacterium. Its description in RNAcentral is "partial 16S ribosomal RNA". It matches the Rfam family "Bacterial small subunit ribosomal RNA", at positions 29 to 507 of the family's 1533-position model. The record is from RNAcentral.
AGUGAACGCUGGCGGUAGGCCUAAAACAUGCAAGUCGACCGGAACAAUGGUAAGAUUUUGCCUUUACGGUUGGCGGGGGGCGGACGGGUAAGGAAUACAUCGAAUCCUACUUUUUCUGGGGGAAUAACGAGGGAAAACUUCCGCUAAUACCGAAUAGAACUAACGGUUGAAAGCAGGGGUUCUCGGGACUUUGGCGGUUUGAUGAAGCGGAGGUCGGAUUAGCUAGUUGGCGGGGUAAAGUCCCACCAAGGCGACGAUCCGUAGCUGGUCUGAGAGGAUGAUCAGCCACACUGGAACUGAGACACGGUCCAGACUCCUACGGGAGGCAGCAGUGGGGAAUAUUGGACAAUGGGCGAAAGCCUGAUCCAGCCAUACCGCGUGAGUGAAGAAGGCCUUCGGGUUGUAAAGCUCUUUUGUUGGGAAAGAAAAGCAGCAGGUUAAUACCCCGCUGUUCUGACGGUACCCAAAGAAUAAGCACCGGCUAACUUCGUG